UGGGGAAUAUUGGACAAUGGGCGCAAGCCUGAUCCAGCAACGCCGCGUGGAGGACGAAGGUCUUCGGAUCGUAAACUCCUGUCAGACGGGACAAAGACAGCAGGGUAAAUAGUCCUGUUGUUUGACGGUACUGUCAGAGGAAGCCCCGGCUAACUCCGUGCCAGCAGCCGCGGUAAUACGGAGGGGGCGAGCGUUAUUCGGAAUUAUUGGGCGUAAAGGGCGCGUAGGCGGCUUGGCAAGUCAAAGGUGAAAUCCCUCGGCUCAACUGAGGAACUGCCUUUGAAACUGCCUGGCUUGAGGCCGGGAGGGGGUAGCGGAAUUCCCAGUGUAGCGGUGAAAUGCGUAGAUAUUGGGAGGAACACCAGUGGCGAAGGCGGCUACCUGGACCGGUUCUGAUGCUGAUGCGCGAAAGCGUGGGUAGCAAA
RNAcentral lists this ribosomal RNA (425 nucleotides) under uncultured bacterium. Its description in RNAcentral is "bacterial SSU rRNA". It matches the Rfam family "Bacterial small subunit ribosomal RNA", at positions 355 to 772 of the family's 1533-position model. The record is from RNAcentral.